AUAUCACGUUGAAACACCCAUUCCCGUAGGAUCACCGAAACUAAGCAACGUCGAGCCUGGUCAGUACCUUGAUGGGUUACCGGUUGGGAAUACCAA
Non-coding RNA from Acanthosepion pharaonis, 96 nucleotides. Lineage: Eukaryota; Metazoa; Mollusca; Cephalopoda; Sepiida; Sepiidae. The record is from the annotation of a GenBank genome assembly.